This is a small nucleolar RNA of Musca vetustissima, 72 nucleotides long. RefSeq annotates it as small nucleolar RNA U3. The transcript has a single exon. The record is from RefSeq and is a predicted model, not a curated record. Lineage: Eukaryota; Metazoa; Arthropoda; Insecta; Diptera; Muscidae.
AAUACUAUACUUCACAGGAUCAUUUCUGUAGUCAGUCUUCAAUUACUUUCAUUGCAAAAUGGAAAAUCUAGU